RNAcentral lists this ribosomal RNA (775 nucleotides) under uncultured Neocallimastigales. RNAcentral describes it as "partial large subunit ribosomal RNA". It matches the Rfam family "Eukaryotic large subunit ribosomal RNA", at positions 23 to 643 of the family's 3401-position model. Lineage: Eukaryota; Fungi; Neocallimastigomycota; Neocallimastigomycetes; Neocallimastigales. The record is from RNAcentral.
AGAGAUGUGUGAUGACGCAUAUCAAUAAGCGGAGGAAAAGAAACUAACUAGGAUUCCCUUAGUAACGGCGAGUGAAGCGGGAAGAGCUCAAAUUUGAAAUCUUCAAGGUUCUACCUUGACGAAUUGUAGUUUAAAGAAGUGUUUUCUGUUGGAGUUUUGGUAAAAGUUCUUUGGAAUAGGACAUCAUAGAGGGUGAGAAUCCCGUAUUUGACCAUUUCUUCCAGCUGUGUGAUACACUUUCAAAGAGUCGGAUUGUUUGGGAAUGCAGUCCAAAAUGGGUGGUAAAUUUCAUCUAAAGCUAAAUAUUGGCGAGAGACCGAUAGCGAACAAGUACCGUGAGGGAAAGAUGAAAAGAACUUUGAAAAGAGAGUUAAGCAGUACGUGAAAUUGUCAAAAGGGAAGCGUUUGACACCAGUGUUGUUUUUCCGAAAAUCAAUUACGAAUGUUUUGUUUUUGAGAAGUUAUGACUUCAUCGGCUUGCUUCUCUCUUUAUGAAACUUUCUUAAUGCACUUUUCGGUUAACAAGUCAACAUCAAUUUCUUUUGUUGUAAAAGGGUAUGAGGAAGGUGGCUUUCUUUUCGGAGAAAGUGUCUUAUAGCCUUGUACCUCUGCAAUCGGAGAGAUUGAGGUCUGCAGCGUAGAUCCUUCGGGGUUAGAUACAUUUGUGCUAAGUUAUAGCUUUUCAUAGACAACUUGUUGACUAUGUUUAGUCUUGUAGCUUACUCGCUUAUGCUAUUUUACCUACGCUUAGGAUGUUGAAGAUGUAGCACAUCAU